GGAGGAGGAGUCUCAGGCCUGUCAUCAAAGGGGACGCUCGUCGGCAUAUCGACAUUCUGAUCCUCCGGCUGGUCGGCAAACGGGUCCGACUCCAAUUCCAGGUCCGAGUACCUCGCUCGAAAACAAGCAUAAGCCACCCGAUACCUAAACUCAUAUGUCACCCACCCCGACCUCACUAGGUCGCGCUCAAACCCGGCGGAUGCCUUGUACUCAACGAUCGCCCCCUUGAUCUUCUCGGGAAGCGCCAGCCACUCCUCCUUCAGGACCUCUUCGG
RNAcentral lists this long non-coding RNA (274 nucleotides) under Musa acuminata (dwarf banana). Its description in RNAcentral is "long non-coding RNA (MACU_LNC001952)". Lineage: Eukaryota; Viridiplantae; Streptophyta; Magnoliopsida; Zingiberales; Musaceae. The record is from RNAcentral.